GACAGAGGUGCCGAGCGUUAGGCGGAAUCACUGGGCUUAACGCGUGUGUAGGCGGCCCGUUAAGUACCUUGUGAAAUCCCACGGCUCAACCGUGGAACGGCUGGGUAUACUGGCGGUCUUGAGCGGCCUAGGGGCAGACGGAACAAGUGGUGGAGCGGUGAAAUGCGUAGAUAUCACUUGGAACGCCGACGGUGAAAACAGUCUGCUGGGGGCCUGCUGACGCUGAGACACGAAAGCCAGGGGAGCGAACGGG
Molecule: ribosomal RNA, 253 nt
Filed under: uncultured bacterium
Lineage: Bacteria
Description: partial 16S ribosomal RNA
Rfam family: Bacterial small subunit ribosomal RNA
Source: RNAcentral